CUAACUUUUUGAAUCAUUUUGUUUACUCGCAGAAGACGUUUUUUUGUCUACGUACUCAAUCAUUCUCUUUGGUGUACGGCUCUUGACGUGUCUAGGUAUCUAUUCUCUAAGCUAUUGGACGCAUGCAGUUUAAAAGAAGGACGAAAGAUAUCAAAAAGACAGUCAAACUCAUAAAUCUAAAAUAAACUGACAACGCCAUGGCUAAAAAUGAAAAAGACAAACAGACAAACUAUAGUACACAUGACACAACAUAGAAAAAUAAAAAAAUAAACAACACGAACCCCACCAAAAACUAGGGGUGAUCCCAGGUGCUCCGGAAGGGUAAGGAGAUCCUGCUCCACAUGUGGCACCC
RNAcentral lists this long non-coding RNA (352 nucleotides) under Mytilus galloprovincialis (Mediterranean mussel). Lineage: Eukaryota; Metazoa; Mollusca; Bivalvia; Mytilida; Mytilidae. The record is from RNAcentral.